This 288-nucleotide small RNA is filed under the name Salvator merianae (Argentine black and white tegu). RNAcentral's name for it is "7SK RNA (ENSSMRG00000017309.1)". It matches the Rfam family "7SK RNA", at positions 1 to 248 of the family's 331-position model. From Rfam's summary of the family: 7SK was discovered as an abundant small nuclear RNA in the mid-70s but a possible function has only recently been suggested. The record is from RNAcentral. Lineage: Eukaryota; Metazoa; Chordata; Lepidosauria; Squamata; Teiidae.
GGAUGUGAGGGUGAUCUGGCUGGGACACCUGUCAUCCCAUUAAUCACCAGGGUUGAUUUGGCUGCUCUGGCUGGCUGGGCAGUUGUCUUCUUCCUAAUCCUCCACUCCAUGCCUGCCCCUCCUGGGACGGUGUCCUUGGUAGAAAAGGGCAACCAUCCGAGAUAGAAGGAAUACGCUGUGCUUUGGCUAAGAGUGUGCUGUAGCUGCACUUCCCUGCUAGAACCCCCCAAGCAAACUGCAACAUCUAUAUACCUUUCUUCAAAAACACCCCAUGGGAGUUUAUAGUCA